This 301-nucleotide ribosomal RNA is filed under the name uncultured Lactobacillus sp. RNAcentral's name for it is "bacterial SSU rRNA". It matches the Rfam family "Bacterial small subunit ribosomal RNA", at positions 492 to 793 of the family's 1533-position model. The record is from RNAcentral. Lineage: Bacteria; Bacillati; Bacillota; Bacilli; Lactobacillales; Lactobacillaceae.
CCCUGCUAACGCGGUGUCAGGAGCCGCGGUAAUAAGGAGGGUGCAAGCGGUCAUCGGAAUUACUGGGCGUAAAGCGCACGCAGGCGGCUUUUUAAGUCGGAUGUGAAAGCCCCGGGCUCAACCUGGGAAUUGCAUUCGAGACUGGGAAGCUAGAGUAUGUGAGAGGGGGGUAGAAUUCCAAGUGUAGCGGUGAAAUGCGUAGAGAUUUGGAGGAAUACCAGUGGCGAAGGCGGCCCCCUGGCACACUACUGACGCUCAGGUGCGAAAGCGUGGGGAGCAAACAGGAUUAGUACCGUGAUUC